This 454-nucleotide ribosomal RNA is filed under the name uncultured Barnesiella sp. RNAcentral describes it as "partial 16S ribosomal RNA". It matches the Rfam family "Bacterial small subunit ribosomal RNA", at positions 341 to 792 of the family's 1533-position model. Lineage: Bacteria; Pseudomonadati; Bacteroidota; Bacteroidia; Bacteroidales; Barnesiellaceae. The record is from RNAcentral.
ACGGGAGGCAGCAGUGAGGAAUAUUGGUCAAUGGGCGAGAGCCUGAACUAGCCAUGUCGCGUGCAGGAAUACGGCCCUACGGGUUUUAAACUUCUUUUGCCUGGGGAUAAAGUGGCGGACGAGUCCGCUAUUGCAGGUACCAGGCGAAUAAGCAUCGGCUAACUCCGUGCCAGCAGCCGCGGUAAUACGGAGGAUGCGAGCGUUAUCCGGAUUUAUUGGGUUUAAAGGGUGCGUAGGCGGCGCGCCAAGUCUGCGGUGAAAUGUCAGGGCUCAACCUUGGCACUGCCAUGGAAACUGGCGAGCUAGAGUGCGUUUGGGGUACGUGGAAUGUGUGGUGUAGCGGUGAAAUGCAUAGAUAUCACACAGAACGCCGAUCGCGAAGGCAGUGUACCAAGCCGCAACUGACGCUGAGGCACGAAAGUGCGGGGGUCGAACAGGAUUAGAUACCCUGGUA